This 1005-nucleotide long non-coding RNA is filed under the name Phasianus colchicus (ring-necked pheasant). RNAcentral's name for it is "lncRNA (ENSPCLG00000001707.1)". The record is from RNAcentral. Lineage: Eukaryota; Metazoa; Chordata; Aves; Galliformes; Phasianidae.
CCAAGCCAUUCUAUGAUUCUGUGAGGAUGGUCACAGCUGCUACUAUAUCAUCUCAUGCUUCCCAUUGAGAUGUAAUUCUCAGAAAGCAUCUCAAACAACAGAUCACUGAAUACUUAAUUUGGUUAAAUAUAUAUAUAUAUCAGGAGUGACAUUCUUCCAGUUCCAUGUCAGUUGAGCAGGUAUAGUGAAACUAGGUAUAGUUCUGUUUACUUUUAAAAGGCUUUUCUAUCAUCAUACACAGCCUUGGUGUCAGUGUGGUGUUGUAACAAGAUAACUGACAAGACCACAUGCAUCAAUUUUCUACCAGUUAUCUCUGCCCUCGGAUGCCUUGUCAUUUUACUUUAUACAAACUGACUAUUUGAGGCAGCAGUAGAAGACUUCUUCAUGCUCCGUUGAUGAAUAAUGAAGCCUUCUCCUCAACCAUCAUGUAUCAUGCUUCACAGAAGCUUAAUUAGCUCAUCUGAGAUAGCCUGGCAGAAUUCAAAAGUUGUUGCCAACACUGAGCUUCUUCAACUGAGCUCCUCAAGGGACAACCCUUGGAGGUGAAGAUGGGGACAUUCAUCUGUUACUAUGGAGACAAGCAGAGUCAGCAUUCAAUCCUGUCCCAUUGGUGCACAGUGACAUUUCUGAGUCUCUAUGGUAACAGUGGAGUUUCUGGCACAUCUGACCUUCUCCAGGGUGAAAGAGCAGCCCUCCAGCACAGAGAUGCAAGAACUGAGAUGCACACAUUAUUUCAGUUGCAGAGAAUUAGUAAAAGGGAGAAAAUUCUAGCAUACAAACAAGCAUGCACUGAACAUGCUUGCAACUGCAUGUACCCAGCAUUCUGAAGACUGCAAUAGGUGAGUCAAGCUCCAGUAGCUGCAGAACACAACUGAAAGUCGUUUGGAGAAGAAAAAUGCAGAAGCAGGAGAGUUACAGCUAGCCUCUAGAUCAAAGCCAUGACAACUCUCUUCUAGAUACUAUUGAUAUAAUAAAUAUUUCUUUGCUUUUGAUUUGCUAUUUCUC